This 468-nucleotide ribosomal RNA is filed under the name uncultured bacterium. RNAcentral describes it as "partial 16S ribosomal RNA". It matches the Rfam family "Bacterial small subunit ribosomal RNA", at positions 28 to 507 of the family's 1533-position model. The record is from RNAcentral.
GACGAACGCUGGCGGCGUGCUUAACACAUGCAAGUCGAACGGAAAGGCCCUGCUUUUGUGGGGUGCUCGAGUGGCGAACGGGUGAGUAACACGUGAGUAACCUGCCCUUGACUUUGGGAUAACUUCAGGAAACUGGGGCUAAUACCGGAUAGGAGCUCCUGCUGCAUGGUGGGGGUUGGAAAGUUUCGGCGGUUGGGGAUGGACUCGCGGCUUAUCAGCUUGUUGGUGGGGUAGUGGCUUACCAAGGCUUUGACGGGUAGCCGGCCUGAGAGGGUGACCGGCCACAUUGGGACUGAGAUACGGCCCAGUCUCCUACGGGAGGCAGCAGUGGGGAAUAUUGCACAAUGGGCGGAAGCCUGAUGCAGCAACGCCGCGUGCGGGAUGACGGCCUUCGGGUUGUAAACCGCUGUCGCCUGUGACGAAGCGUGAGUGACGGUAAUGGGUAAAGAAGCACCGGCUAACUACGUG